This 371-nucleotide RNase P RNA is filed under the name Tepidicella xavieri. Its description in RNAcentral is "Bacterial RNase P class A". It matches the Rfam family "Bacterial RNase P class A". From Rfam's summary of the family: Ribonuclease P (RNase P) is a ubiquitous endoribonuclease, found in archaea, bacteria and eukarya as well as chloroplasts and mitochondria. Its best characterised activity is the generation of mature 5'-ends of tRNAs by cleaving the 5'-leader elements of precursor-tRNAs. Lineage: Bacteria; Pseudomonadati; Pseudomonadota; Betaproteobacteria; Burkholderiales. The record is from Rfam by way of RNAcentral.
GAAGCCUGCCAGGCCGCCGCUGGCGCAAGGCCCGAAAGGGCGCGCUGGAGGAACGUCCGGACUGCACAGGACGGCGUAGCAGCUAACGGCUGCCCACCGUGAGGUGAGGAUCAGAGCAACAGAGACGAGUCCCCAUGAACCAUCCGCUGCGGUGGCAGGAGCGUGGGGGGUGAAACGGGCAAUCUCUACGCGCAGCAACACCAAGUAGGCCAGCCACGGCAGCGGGCAACCGCUGCCGACCCUGUGGUUCCGCAGGGCGUGCUGGCGGGUAGGUGGCACCGAGCCGCGUGGGCGACCCGCGGCCCAGAGGAAUGGCGGUCACAUCGGGGCAACCCGAUGCACAGAAUCCGGCGUAUCGGCAGGCUUCACUU